AGUUUGACUAGCCAAUCAGAGCGCGCCUUCAACGCUAUCCCCUGUUUUAGUAUAUACUAAUAAAAGAUAAUCUACACAAGAUUUUUCAUAUGAAGACAAACCUAUUAGUGACGGACCUUCAGCCAAUCUGUUUGGGGUAUAUCUUGGGAAACAACCCUACAGACUGCCCAAAUCAGGUGAUUAUAAAAGCAGGGAGGAAACACAUGAAGGGACUGGAGAGAGCAAAGUCUACAUGAAAUAAGCCAGGACAAAACCUGAGCUACAAAUUAAAGCUUGAAUCAUUCAAACGAAGAAGAUCAGUCUGCAAUAUAAAUGCAACCUUCAAACCAACUUAAACUGACAGUCCUUUCCCUUGACAAACAUUUUAGUAAUUUACUAUCAGAUUUUCUACAAUCUGCAUGUAUCUUGAACCAUAUUCAUUUAUUGCUCCUUGUGUAUUAAGUUAAUGGAACGCCAACGCAUUUUACCACGUUUACUAGUGCCCUUCAAACUCAAUUGUUUGUUCUAGUUAAUUUCCUUGCUUGCAAUCAAACACCUUCAAAAGAUAGAGUUGAGAAACACCUAGAAAUUUCACAAACAUUUGCAGGCUCAUGCACCAAGGCCAUAGAAACACUAAUGGUACUAUGGAAGGGUUUUGAAAUUAAAAACUGGACAAGUGGAAACAUUUUUUGCUCUGUUUAAGUUGUAGAAAGAACAGAUCAGCUCAGAAUUGUGGCUGUCCUUUGUCCAGUACACGAAGUAAAACUCUAUAGUUUCAUCAUUGAACACUUAAAAUUUUUCUGAAAGAGUUUCUUGGAUCACAAAAAUACAGAUGAUGCAGAUUGCACCACUUUGUUUGUUGCCACCAUACAGAGCAUGUAUGUUAGGCAGUCUUCUCAGACAGUUGUCUGUUAGGUUUACAAAGUAAACAUAAAUCAUGAAAGAAAUGCAUGACUGCUAUGGCUUUUCAAAAGACAUUCUUUUAACUUUCACCAUGGUAGUUCCUUUCAAACUGUUGCAAUGAAUAGUCCAUUUCCGAAUUACCCUGGCCUCAUUUUAAA
Molecule: long non-coding RNA, 1040 nt
Organism: Stylophora pistillata
Lineage: Eukaryota; Metazoa; Cnidaria; Anthozoa; Scleractinia; Pocilloporidae
Source: RefSeq, a predicted model, not a curated record